RNAcentral lists this ribosomal RNA (253 nucleotides) under uncultured bacterium. RNAcentral describes it as "partial 16S ribosomal RNA". It matches the Rfam family "Bacterial small subunit ribosomal RNA", at positions 524 to 776 of the family's 1533-position model. The record is from RNAcentral.
UACGGAGGGUGCGAGCGUUGUCCGGAAUCACUGGGCGUAAAGGGCGCGUAGGCGGGUCUUUAAGUCAGGGGUGAAAUCCUGGAGCUCAACUCCAGAACUGCCUUUGAUACUGAAGAUCUUGAGUUCGGGAGAGGUGAGUGGAACUGCGAGUGUAGAGGUGAAAUUCGUAGAUAUUCGCAAGAACACCAGUGGCGAAGGCGGCUCACUGGCCCGAUACUGACGCUGAGGCACGAAAGCGUGGGGAGCAAACAGG